UUGGUGUAUCAGAGGAGGGCGUCCCGGCGCGUGCGCGCUGCAGCGACAUACUCGCUGGGCCAGAUGACGCCCGGAUGUGCUGGGCGCUUCCUCCGCUGGGAGCAGCGGCAUCGAGGCCGAUGACCCCCGCGCGCAGCCAGCAACCAUGCUGUCGGUGGGUCAAGGUAGGGCGACCAUGCUAUGGAGGUUGGGCGGUGCGCCGCUGCUGAGAUGGUGAAAAUGCACUUGGCGGAGCAGAAGCCGCAUGAUGUGGAGACGACGCUAAGGAAUGCUGUUUGGGGAGCGUGUAGGAGCAAAACCUAGCAAAUUUGCUGAUGUGCUGAUGGUGUCCGAAAAUGACGCUAUGAUCAAACGUAUAAAUUAUACUAGGAGUACUUGAUUAUAGCACCGUGUUAUCCGAUCUAUUUUUGCAGCUACCAAUGCAACCUUGUCCUGUAGUGCUUAGUGUACUAGGUGUUUGAAAUGAUUUUGUGCCUACUAAAUAAUCACCGUGUACUGAACAGUGCAUAUAGUAUAUUUUAGAUAGGCUGUGAAUUUUAUCUGUAGCCAUUAAGCCAUGUGCUACAACUUUCAAAAA
Long non-coding RNA from Lolium rigidum, 577 nucleotides. RefSeq lists it as uncharacterized. The record is from RefSeq and is a predicted model, not a curated record. Lineage: Eukaryota; Viridiplantae; Streptophyta; Magnoliopsida; Poales; Poaceae. The transcript is spliced from 2 exons.